CUACGGGAGGCAGCAGUAAGGAAUAUUGGUCAAUGGACGAAAGUCUGAACCAGCCAUGCCGCGUGAAGGAUGACGGCCCUCUGGGUUGUAAACUUCUUUUAUCUGGGACGAAAAAAGGGAAUUCUUUCUCACUUGACGGUACCAGAGGAAUAAGCACCGGCUAACUCCGUGCCAGCAGCCGCGGUAAUACGGAGGGUGCAAGCGUUAUCCGGAUUCACUGGGUUUAAAGGGAGCGUAGGUGGGCAGGUAAGUCAGUGGUGAAAUCUCCGGGCUUAACCCGGAAACUGCCAUUGAUACUAUUUGUCUUGAAUUAUCUGGAGGUAAGCGGAAUAUGUCCUGUAGCGGUGAAAUGCUUAGAUAUGACAUAGAACACCGAUUGCGAAGGCAGCUUACUACGGAUAUAUUGACACUGAGGCUCGAAAGCGUGGGGAUCAAACAGGAUUAGAAACCCCUGUAGUCC
Molecule: ribosomal RNA, 460 nt
Filed under: uncultured bacterium
Lineage: Bacteria
Description: bacterial SSU rRNA
Rfam family: Bacterial small subunit ribosomal RNA
Source: RNAcentral